Molecule: ribosomal RNA, 497 nt
Filed under: uncultured bacterium
Lineage: Bacteria
Description: partial 16S ribosomal RNA
Rfam family: Bacterial small subunit ribosomal RNA
Source: RNAcentral
GAUGAACGCUGGCGGCGUGCCUAAUACAUGCAAGUCGAGCGAACAGACGAGGAGCUUGCUCCUCUGACGUUAGCGGCGGACGGGUGAGUAACACGUGGAUAACCUACCUAUAAGACUGGGAUAACUUCGGGAAACCGGAGCUAAUACCGGAUAAUAUAUUGAACCGCAUGGUUCAAUAGUGAAAGACGGUUUUGCUGUCACUUAUAGAUGGAUCCGCGCCGCAUUAGCUAGUUGGUAAGGUAACGGCUUACCAAGGCAACGAUGCGUAGCCGACCUGAGAGGGUGAUCGGCCACACUGGAACUGAGACACGGUCCAGACUCCUACGGUAGGCAGCAGUAGGGAAUCUUCCGCAAUGGGCGAAAGCUUGACGGAGCAACGCCGCGUGAGUGAUGAAGGUCUUCGGAUCGUAAAACUCUGUUAUUAGGGAAGAACAAAUGUGUAAGUAACUAUGCACGUCUUGACGGUACCUAACCAGAAAGCCACGGCUAACUACGUG